CGGCGAAGCGAUCGUUCAGAGCCGCCAACUCCGUCCGCUCCGCGCUGCGCCCCGCCGAACGCGCAUCAACGGGAACCGGCGGAGAAUCGAGGCUUUGCGCUCUUCAAAACCAAAUGGAAAAAUCCCACGCAGCGUUCGGAGCAGCGCGGCUCUUUUCUCAGUCUCUGCUGCCACCGUGUGGCCAAAGAGCGGAACUGCAGGAGUGGCGCUUGGGGGACGGUUGAACCCUGGAGGCGGCGGUGGCGGUUUUAGGGCCGGCGGAACUUUUAGAGGCGGUGCUGCUGCUGCUGGUUUUAUAGAGCGGAGGGGAUCAGGGUUGCUCAAGGCGGUUCGGACCUCCCCGGCGCCAGCACUGCCCCGCAGAACGCUCUUGGAGCUGCUUAGCGCGUCGCUCUGCCCUCCCGCUCCGAGUCUCUAUUCUCCAUGGUAAUUGGUAAUCCUGUCGCUAACAUGCAAGUGUUGCGACACACAGAAGUCGCGACUCUCCACUCUGACAGCUCUGCGUCGUCAGUUCGCCAAUACCUACGAUAAUAGCGCUUGCGACUGUACUGCGCAUGUGCAGUGAAACGCGGAAAGUCUGUUGUAACCGCUCUGCGCUCCCAGACCUCCAAUCUCUAUGCUUCUUUGGUCUUCCAGGCUGUAGUACACAUGCGCAAACAGCUCUUACCGCUCUGCGCCACAGUUCCGCCAAUCUCUAUGGUCUUCGGUCCGCCAGGCGGCAUUACGCAUGCGCACAGGCUCAAGCAAGCACUUUGGGAAGCCUAUGGGGCACACAGGGGGGGCACAGAGAGGCGCUGGGGGACUGAGCGUAAGGGAGCUUUGGGGUGUCCAGAAGUCAUCUGCCCCAACGGGAGACGCCCCCGAUUUUGGGGUGUCCCCAGUCAGGAACUGCCUCACUUUAUAGAAUCUCCCCAUUUUUGAGGUUUCCCCAUGGCUUCCACUAAGGGAAUCUGUUUGGGGCGCGGGUAGGAUUGGGAUGAGGACAGGGAUGAGAUGGGAUUGGAACGGGGAUGGGAUUGGGGUUGGAGAGGAUGAGAGUGGGGAUUGGGAUGGGAAUGGGGUUGGGGAUGGGAUUGAGAUGGUGAUGAGGAUAGGGAUGAAGUGUUGAUAGGGAGGGGAUGGAACGGGAUUAGGGUGGGGAUGGGAUGUGGGAUUGGAAUGGGGGAGGGAGUGGGAAUGUGACAGGGAUGGGAUGGGGACAGAUGAGAACGGGACAGAACUGGGGUGAGGAUGGCAUGGUUUUGGGGUAUGGAUGAGCACAGGAUGGGGUGAGGAUGUGGCUGAGAAGACCCCCGGGUGCCCCCCACCACGCAGCGCCGGUGCGGCCGUUCCGAUCACCUUUAUUGGAGGAAACCAACAGAAAACCCAACGGCGCCCGGCGCCGCGCAGCCCCACACCCCACAGCACUCCCACCCCAACGGGGCACAGCGGGAGAUGGGGGGCAGACAUGAGGCCAGACCCCCCCAAAGACCCCCACCCCCCCAAAAAAAACCCCAAAUGAAGCAGGGCGGAGCGGCAGGGCCCGGCAAUGUCGGUUUUCCUCCUUUUUUUCCUUUCCUUAUGCUGAUUCUUGGCUUGAUUUCGGCGGGGCGGCGCUGGGUUUUCUGUUCCAUUUCGGUGUUGGGGUUGGGGACGGC
This is a long non-coding RNA of Lagopus muta (rock ptarmigan), 1637 nucleotides long. RefSeq lists it as uncharacterized. Lineage: Eukaryota; Metazoa; Chordata; Aves; Galliformes; Phasianidae. The transcript has 2 exons. The record is from RefSeq and is a predicted model, not a curated record.